RNAcentral lists this long non-coding RNA (1025 nucleotides) under Vulpes vulpes (red fox). Its description in RNAcentral is "lncRNA (ENSVVUG00000003770.1)". Lineage: Eukaryota; Metazoa; Chordata; Mammalia; Carnivora; Canidae. The record is from RNAcentral.
GACAGUUACCUGUGAGUCAUGUCUAACUCUUUCAAUUCUGUCACAAACCAGUACAAAUCAGUGACCACUAUCUUCAGUUUCCUGUAUAAUAGAUGACGAAUGCUUAAGUUUGCUAAGUUAAAAGUCAGCAUCUUACAGCUUAUUUCUACAAUGAUUUGUUUUCUUUCACAGUGUAGUACAAGAUUAGGUAAACAUGAAGACUAAAUAUAUGGUUCUUAAUGAACUCUGAUCCCUGAAUACUAGCUACAUAGUUCUUACAUAUUUUGACCACUGCAUCUAAGUUUGAUGACUUCGUAUUAAUUAGUAUUGGUUUUUACAGGAGACAGUGACAUUUAAGGAUGUGGCUGUGGACCUCACCCAGGAGGAAUGGCAGCACAUGAAACCUGCUCAGAGGAACUUGUACCGGGAUGUGAUGCUAGAGAACUACAGCAACCUAGUCACAGUGGGUUAUCAAGUCACCAAACCAGAUGUGAUCUUCAAGUUGGAGCAAGAAGAGGAGCCAUGGGUGAUAGAGGAAGAAAUGCUUGGGAGGCACUGUCCAGGUGAAUAAGUAAAAAGCAGCUCUGAAUGAGAAAGCCACAGGACAAUUGUUCAUGUGGUUGAUACCAUUUCACAUUUUCCAAACUUUUCUUAAAGGCUGUAGUGUUCUAAGGGGACAAAUGGUAUGAAUGGAUUGGAUUAUUAUGACCUUUCCAAAUACUAUAUUGUUCCUAUACUGGAACUAUCUCCUUUUCCAAAUUUUAAGGGGCUGGUAGUUCCAUCUGAUUUCAGGAUGCCAACCUUCUUUAAUUUGUUUAAAGCCUCACUUUCAGGAUUAUUGUCCCUCUGUGAUCCUUAAACUCUCUUUUUCCUUUGUGAUUGUAGUUUUAGUUUUUUUCCUUGUUCAUUCAGUAUUUCACAGAUGUGUAAUAAUUUAAAAGUCUGUUUGUUUCACACUUAGAUUUUGUUUCAGUUUCUUUCCAUUUUGAAAGUUAAUUCCAUAAACUAACUUUCAUAGAUUUGACAUCUUUAGAAUGUUGAGAUUU